AGCAGCCGCGGUAAUUCCAGCUCCAAUAGCGUAUAUUAAAGUUGUUGCAGUUAAAAAGCUCGUAGUUGAAUUUCGGGAUCAAUGCGCGGUCGUGCCUUGGGUACGUACUACCGUCAUUGAUUCCUCCCUUCUGAAGAACCGUGAUGUCAUUAAUUUGGUGUUACGGGGAAUCAGGACUACAACCUUGAAAAAUUAGUGUUUAAAGCAGGCUAACGCUUGAAUACAUUAGCAUGGAAUAAUGAAAUAGGACGUUCGAACCUAUUUUGUUGGUUUCUAGGAUCGACGUAAUGAUUAAUAGGGAUAGUUGGGGGCAUUAGUAUUCAAUUGUCAGAGGUGAAAUUCUUGGAUUUAUUGAAGACUAACUACUGCGAAAGCAUUUGCCAAGGAUGUUUCAUUAAUCAAGACGAAAGUUAGGGGAUCGAAGACGAUCAGAUACCGUCGUAGUCUUAACCAUAAACUAUGCCGACUAGGGAUCGGAUGAUGUUAAUUUUUUAAUGUACUCAUUCGGCGCCUUACGGGA
This 520-nucleotide ribosomal RNA is filed under the name uncultured Glomus. Its description in RNAcentral is "SSU rRNA". It matches the Rfam family "Eukaryotic small subunit ribosomal RNA", at positions 569 to 1095 of the family's 1831-position model. The record is from RNAcentral. Lineage: Eukaryota; Fungi; Glomeromycota; Glomeromycetes; Glomerales; Glomeraceae.